This 1230-nucleotide ribosomal RNA is filed under the name Symplana lii. Its description in RNAcentral is "16S ribosomal RNA". The stretch from base 1010 to 1168 matches the Rfam family "Archaeal large subunit ribosomal RNA", at positions 2542 to 2701 of the family's 2987-position model. Lineage: Eukaryota; Metazoa; Arthropoda; Insecta; Hemiptera; Lophopidae. The record is from RNAcentral.
UUAAAUUAUUUGUUUGGAUAUUUUUUUUAUUAAUGGGUUUAAUAAAUUUAAUUUUUUUUUGUUUAUUAAUAUUUUUAAUAAAUUAUAUUUUCUUUAGUUAAUUUUACUGUAAAGGUUAAUGAUUUUUUUAAAAAGAAGAAUAUUUUUUUAUAGUACCUUUUGUAUCAGGGUUAAUUUAUUUUUUUAAUAUAUUUUAUUUUCUCGAAUAUUCAUGAUUUAGAUUAAUUUGUUUUUUUUUGUUUAAUAAUUAAAUAUAAAAAGUUAAUUUAGUUUUGAAAUGAAAUUUCGUUUGAAUUUAUAUCUAGUUAACUAAGAUUUUAAUAAAAUUAAGGAUUUCUUUUUAAUUUAUUAUUUUAUAAAAUUUAUUUUGGGUUCUAAUAUAAAUGGGGAUAAUCUCGUUUUUUUUUUAUAAUUAUUAUGUAAAUAUAUUUUUUUUAGGUUUAGAAUUUGUCAUUAUUAAAGUUUGUAAAAAAUUUAAGUAUAUUUUUUCAAUUAAAUUUAUUUUUUUAUUAGUUUUUUAGAGUUAAUUUUUUUUUUAUUAAUAAUGAUUAAAUUAGUAAUUUUACAAAAUUAAUUAUAUGAACUCGGCAAAAUUUAUUUUUCACCUGUUUAACAAAAACAUGUCUUUAAGAUUUUAUUUUAAGUCGGUCCUGCUCGGUGAUUAUUAUUUAACAGCCGCGGUAUUUUAACUGUGCUAAGGUAGCAUAAUAAUUAGUCUUUUAAUUGAGGUCUAGAAUGAAUGGUUUGAUGAAAAAAUAACUUUAUUUAAUUAAUUUAAUUGAAUUUUAUUUUUGAUUUAAAAAGAUCAAAUUUUUUUGAGUGACGAUAAGACCCUAUAGAUCUUAAAAAUUAGUUUUAUUUUUUUUUUAGGUUGUUUUAUUUAAAAUAAAGAAAUAAUUUUUUUGUUGGGGUGACAGUUAAAAUUUUAAACUUUAAUUUUUAUUUACAAUUUUUUUUGGUUUUUUUGAUCCUUAUAUUUUUUUGGAUAAUAAGAAAAAGAUACCUUAGGGAUAACAGCGUAAUAUAUUUGGAGAGUUCUAAUCAAUAAAUAUGAUUGCGACCUCGAUGUUGGAUUAAUUUAAAGUUGUGGGGUAGGUUUUACAAUUUUAGGUCUGUUCGACCUUUAAAAAAUUACAUGAUCUGAGUUCAGACCGGCGUGAGCCAGGUUGGUUUCUAUCUUCAUUUAUUUUUAAUUAGUACGAAAGGACUUUUAAAUUGUAAUAUUUAUUU